Molecule: ribosomal RNA, 253 nt
Filed under: uncultured bacterium
Lineage: Bacteria
Description: partial 16S ribosomal RNA
Rfam family: Bacterial small subunit ribosomal RNA
Source: RNAcentral
UACGGAGGGUGCAAGCGUUAUCCGGAUUUACUGGGUUUAAAGGGUGCGUAGGUGGAUUUGUAAGUCAGUGGUGAAAUCUCCGAGCUUAACUCGGAAACUGCCAUUGAUACUAUAAGUCUUGAAUUAUCUGGAGGUAAGCGGAAUAUGUCAUGUAGCGGUGAAAUGCUUAGAUAUGACAUAGAACACCGAUUGCGAAGGCAGCUUACUAAGGUGUCAAUGACGCUGAGGCACGAAAGCGUGGGGAUCAAACAGG